RNAcentral lists this ribosomal RNA (546 nucleotides) under uncultured bacterium. RNAcentral's name for it is "bacterial SSU rRNA". It matches the Rfam family "Bacterial small subunit ribosomal RNA", at positions 775 to 1314 of the family's 1533-position model. The record is from RNAcentral.
AGAUAAUAGAUACCCCGGUAGUCCACGCCCUAAACGAUGUCGACUGGUUGUUGGGGGUUUGACACCCUCAGUAAACGAAAGCUAAACGCGUGAAAGUCGACCGCCUGGGGAGUACGGCCGCAAGGUUAAAACUCAAAGGAAUUGACGGGGACCCGCACAAGCGGUGGAUUAUGUGGAUUAAUUCGAUGCAACGCGAAAAACCUUACCUACCCUUGACAUGUCCGGAAGCCUGCUGAGAGGCGGGUGUGCCCGAAUGGGAACCGGAACACAGGUGCUGCAUGGCUGUCGUCAGCUCGUGUCGUGAGAUGUUGGGUUAAGUCCCGCAACGAGCGCAACCCUUGUCAUUAGUUGCUACAUUCAGUUGGGCACUCUAAUGAGACUGCCGGUGACAAACCGGAGGAAGGUGGGGAUGACGUCAAGUCCUCAUGGCCCUUAUGGGUAGGGCUUCACACGUAAUACAAUGGCGCGUACAGAGGGCUGCUAAGCCGCGAGGUAGAGCCAAUCCCUUAAACGCGCGUCGUAGUCCGGAUUGCAGUCUGCAACUCG